RNAcentral lists this ribosomal RNA (345 nucleotides) under uncultured bacterium. Its description in RNAcentral is "partial 16S ribosomal RNA". It matches the Rfam family "Bacterial small subunit ribosomal RNA", at positions 338 to 700 of the family's 1533-position model. The record is from RNAcentral.
CCUACGGGCGGCAGCAGUGGGGAAUAUUGCACAAUGGGGGAAACCCUGAUGCAGCGACGCCGCGUGAGUGAAGAAGGAUUUCGGGAUGUAAAGCUCUAGCAGCAGGGAAGAAAAGGACGGUACCUGAGGAAGAAGCCCCGGCUAACGACGUGCCAGCAGCCGCGGUAAUACGAAGGGGGCAAGCGUCAUCCGGAUUGACUGGGUGUCAAGGGAGCGUAGACGGCAGCACAAGUCUGGAGUGAAAUGCCGGGGCUUAACCCCGGAACUGCUUUUGAAACGGUGCAGCUAGAGUGCAGGCGAGGUAAGUGGCAUUCCUACUGUAGCGGUGACAUGCGUAGCUCUUAG